RNAcentral lists this ribosomal RNA (888 nucleotides) under Podospora cupiformis. Its description in RNAcentral is "LSU rRNA". It matches the Rfam family "Eukaryotic large subunit ribosomal RNA", at positions 38 to 959 of the family's 3401-position model. Lineage: Eukaryota; Fungi; Ascomycota; Sordariomycetes; Sordariales; Podosporaceae. The record is from RNAcentral.
GCAUAUCAAUAAGCGGAGGAAAAGAAACCAACUGGGAUUGCCCUUAGUAACGGCGAAGUGAAGCGGCAACAGCUCAAAUUUGAAAUCUGGCUCCGGCCCGAGUUGUAAUUUGCAGAGGAAGCUUCUGGCGACGCGCCGCCUAAGUCCCCUGGAAUGGGGCGCCACAGCGGGUGAGAGCCCCGUGUGACGGCUGCUGAACCAGUGUGAAGCUCCUUCGACGAGUCGAGUAGUUUGGGAAUGCUGCUCAAAAUGGGAGGUAAAUUCCUUCUAAAGCUAAAUACCGGCCAGAGACCGAUAGCGCACAAGUAGAGUGAUCGAAAGAUGAAAAGCACUUUGAAAAGAGGGUUAAACAGCACGUGAAAUUGUUGAAAGGGAAGCGCUUAUGACCAGACUUGCGCUGGGCUGAUCAUCCGGUGUUCUCACCGGUGCACUCUGCCCAGCGCAGGCCAGCAUCGGUUUCGGCGGGGGGAUAAAGGCGCUGGGAACGUAGCUCCCCCGGGAGUGUUAUAGCCCAGCGUGCAAUGCCCCCGCCGGGACCGAGGACAGCGCCCUGCGAGGAUGCUGGCGUAAUGGUCAUCAGCGACCCGUCUUGAAACACGGACCAAGGAGUCAAGGUUUUGCGCGAGUGUUUGGGUGUCAAACCCGCACGCGUAAUGAAAGUGAACGUAGGUGAGAGCUUCGGCGCAUCAUCGACCGAUCCUGAUGUUCUCGGAUGGAUUUGAGUAGGAGCGUUAAGCCUUGGACCCGAAAGAUGGUGAACUAUGCUUGGAUAGGGUGAAGCCAGAGGAAACUCUGGUGGAGGCUCGCAGCGGUUCUGACGUGCAAAUCGAUCGUCAAAUCUGAGCAUGGGGGCGAAAGACUAAUCGAACCAUCUAGUAGCUGGUUACC